This 234-nucleotide long non-coding RNA is filed under the name Mytilus galloprovincialis (Mediterranean mussel). The record is from RNAcentral. Lineage: Eukaryota; Metazoa; Mollusca; Bivalvia; Mytilida; Mytilidae.
ACAAAGACCAAUGAACCUUGAAAAUGAGGUCAAGGUCAGAUGAACCAUGCCAGACAGGCAUGUACAGCUAACAAUGCUUCUAUACAACAUAUAUAGUUGACCCAUUACUUAUAGUUUAAGAAAAAUAGACCAAACACAAAAACUUAACACUGUGCAAUGAACCGUGAAAAUGAGGUCACAGUCAAAUAAAACCUGCGCGACUGACAUAAAGAUCAUAAAAUAUUUCCAUACACC